Molecule: long non-coding RNA, 1638 nt
Organism: Callithrix jacchus (white-tufted-ear marmoset)
Lineage: Eukaryota; Metazoa; Chordata; Mammalia; Primates; Cebidae
Source: Ensembl
AUGCAAAUCCAGAGACAUCUAGAACAGCAGCCCCACAGGACAGUGGCUGGAGGGCCAACCUCUAGCCAGGGUGACUGCCCGAAUCAGCCCAUGUACCCCACACGAGUCCAUAUCACCCGCAGAGGAGGGCUUCACCCCACAGAGUCUACACCACCACCCCAGGAGGGCUUCACCCCACACGGAGUCCACACCACCAGCCGAGGAGGGCUUCACCCCAUAUGGAGUCCACACCACCAGUCAAGGAGGGCUUCACCCCACAUAGAAUCCACACCACCAGCCAAGGAGGGCUUCACCCCACACGGAGUCCACACCACCAGCCAAGGAGGGCUUCACCCCACACGGAGUCCACACCACCAGCCAAGGAGGGCUUCACCCCACAUAGAGUCCACACCACCAGCCAAGGAGGGCUUCACCCCACAUAGAGUCCACACCACCAGCCAAGGAGGGCUUCACCCCACACGGAGUCCACACCACCCGCAGAGGAGGGCUUCACCCCACACGGAGCCCCACCCAUCCGCAGAGGAGGGCUUCACCCCACACAGAGUCCACACCACCCACAGAGGAGGGCUUCACCCCACACAGAGUCCACACCACCCACAGAGGAGGGCUUCACCCCACACGGAGUCCACACCACCCACAGAGGAGGGCUUCACCCCACACAGAGUCCACACCACCAACCAAGGAGGGCUUCACCCCACACGGAGUCCACACCACCAGCCAAGGAAGGCUUCACCCCACACAGAGUCCACACCACCAGCCAAGGAGGGCUUCACCCCACACGGAGUCCACACCACCAGUCAAGGAGGGCUUCACCCCACACGGAGUCCACACCACCCGCAGAGGAGGGCUUCACCCCACACGGAGUCCACACCACCAGCCCAGGAGGGUUUCACCCCACAUGGAGCCCACACCACCCACAGAGGAGGGCUUCACCCCACACAGAGUCCACACCACCCACAGAGGAGGGCUUCACCCCACACGGAGUCCACAUCACCAGCCCAGGAGGGUUUCACCCCACACGGAGCCCACACCACCCGCAGAGGAGGGCUUCACCCCACACGGAGCCCACACCACCCACACAGGAGGGCUUCACCCCACACAGAGUCCACACCACCAGCCAAGGAGGGCUUCACCCACACAGAGUCCACACCACCAGCCCAGGAGGGUUUCACCCCACACGGAGCCCACACCACCCGAAGAGGAGGGCUUCACCCCACACGGAGUCCACACCACCAGCCAAGGAGGGCUUCACCCCACACAGAGUCCACACCACCAGCCAAGGAGGGCUUCACCCCACACAGAGUCCACACCACCAGCCCAGUAGGGUUUCACCCCACACGGAGCCCACACCACCCACAGAGGAGGGCUUCACCCCACACAGAGUCCACACCACCAGCCAAGGAGGGCUUCACCCCACACGGAGCCCACACCACCAGCCAAGGAGGGCUUCACCCCACACAGAGUCCACAUCACCCACAGAGGAGGGCUUCACCCCACACAGAGUCCACACCACCAGCCAAGGAGGGCUUCACCCCACACGGAGUCCACACCACCCACAGAGGACGGCUUAGCGCUCAGGAACAUACCCUUGCCCAGCCUUCCAGCCCGGGGCCAUGGUGGCCCCUCAACUUUCCAUAA